UUCGCGUAUUCUGAACUUGUCGGUAGGAUGCUGACACGGAACAGGAAAGGCCCAGGGACUGGUCAUCUUCAGGAAGAAGAUUCGAUGAUUCAGGAUGAUUCAUCGGCAUGGAUCGCAAAGGGACACACGCCAAGACGGCGAUGUAAUGGAAUGAGCUGAAGGAUUCAGCAGACUAUCAGGGAAUAGAUGCAGGGAGCACCUUUAGUAGCCGGAUUGCUGCGAGCAGAACAGAAACCCCACCAGGCAUAGCUUGGUGGGGUUUUCUAUUU
This 269-nucleotide unclassified non-coding RNA is filed under the name Vibrio mangrovi. Lineage: Bacteria; Pseudomonadati; Pseudomonadota; Gammaproteobacteria; Vibrionales; Vibrionaceae. The record is from RNAcentral.